Molecule: ribosomal RNA, 421 nt
Filed under: uncultured bacterium
Lineage: Bacteria
Description: bacterial SSU rRNA
Rfam family: Bacterial small subunit ribosomal RNA
Source: RNAcentral
UAAGGAAUAUUGGUCAAUGGACGCAAGUCUGAACCAGCCAUGCCGCGUGAAGGAUGAAGGUCCUCUGGAUUGUAAACUUCUUUUAUCUGGGACGAAAACGGGAUUUUUAUCUCAAUUGACGGUACCAGAGGAAUAAGCACCGGCUAACUCCGUGCCAGCAGCCGCGGUAAUACGGAGGGUGCGAGCGUUCUCCGGAUUUACUGGGUUUAAAGGGUGCGUAGGUGGGCUUAUAAGUCAGUGGUGAAAUCUCCGAGCUUAACUUGGAAACUGCCGUUGAUACUAUAGGUCUUGAAUUAUCUGGAGGUAAGCGGAAUAUGUCAUGUAGCGGUGAAAUGCUUAGAUAUGACAUAGAACACCAAUUGCGAAGGCAGCUUACUACAUAUAAAUUGACGCUGAGGCACGAAAGCGUGGGGAUCAAACA